GACCUCGGAUCAGGUAGGGAUACCCGCUGAACUUAAGCAUAUCAAUAAGCGGAGGAAAAGAAACCAACAGGGAUUGCCUCAGUAACGGCGAGUGAAGCGGCAACAGCUCAAAUUUGAAAUCUGGCUCUUCAAGGGUCCGAGUUGUAAUUUGUAGAAGAUGCUUUGGGUGUAGCUCCGGUCUAAGUUCCUUGGAACAGGACGUCAUAGAGGGUGAGAAUCCCGUAUGUGACUGUGUGCUUUCGCUCGUGUAAAGCUCUUUCGACGAGUCGAGUUGUUUGGGAAUGCAGCUCAAAAUGGGUGGUAAAUUUCAUCUAAAGCUAAAUAUUGGCCAGAGACCGAUAGCGCACAAGUAGAGUGAUCGAAAGAUGAAAAGCACUUUGGAAAGAGAGUUAAACAGUACGCGAAAUUGUUGAAAGGGAAGCGC
Molecule: ribosomal RNA, 424 nt
Filed under: uncultured fungus
Lineage: Eukaryota; Fungi
Description: eukaryotic LSU rRNA
Rfam family: Eukaryotic large subunit ribosomal RNA
Source: RNAcentral